RNAcentral lists this ribosomal RNA (463 nucleotides) under uncultured bacterium. Its description in RNAcentral is "partial 16S ribosomal RNA". It matches the Rfam family "Bacterial small subunit ribosomal RNA", at positions 28 to 507 of the family's 1533-position model. The record is from RNAcentral.
GAUGAACGCUGACAGAAUGCUUAACACAUGCAAGUCGAUGGGGAAGUGGUGCUUGCACCAUGGUAACCAUGGCGGACGGGUGAGUAACGCGUAAGGAACUUGCCUGCGGGACUGGGAUAACAGCAGGAAACUGCUGAUAAUACCGGAUAAGGUCAUUAAGCUGCAUAGCUUAGUGAUGAAAGGAGACGCCUGCGGAGAGCCUUGCGUCCUAUUAGCUAGUUGGAGGGGUAACGGCCCACCAAGGCGAAGACAGGUAGCCGGCCUGAGAGGGUGGACGGCCACAAGGGGACUGAGAUACGGCCCUUACUCCUACGGGAGGCAGCAGUGGGGAAUAUUGGGCAAUGGGGGCAACCCUGAUCCAGCAAUUCUGUGUGCACGAAGACGGUUUUCGGAUUGUAAAGUGCUUUCAGCAGGGAAGAAGGAAGUGACGGUACCUGCAGAAGAAGCGACGGCUAAAUACGUG